GCAUAAUCAGUAGUCUUUUAAUUGAAGGCUUGUAUGAAUGGUUGGACGAAAUAUUAACUGUUUCAUUUAAAAUUUUUAUAGAACUUUAUUUUUUAGUCAAAAAGCUAAAAUAAUAUUAAAAGACGAGAAGACCCUAUAAAUCUUAAUACCUUUAUUAUUUUAAUCAUAUAGAUUUAUUAGGUUAUAAUUUUUACAGGUAUUUUAUUGGGGUGAUAUUAAAAUUUAAUAAACUUUUAAUUUUUAAAUAACAUUAAUUUAUGAAUAAUUGAUCCAUUAAUAAUGAUUAAAAAUUUAAGUUACUUUAGGGAUAACAGCGUAAUUUUUUUGGAGAGUUCAUAUUGAUAAAAAAGAUUGCGACCUCGAUGUUGGAUUAA
This 374-nucleotide ribosomal RNA is filed under the name Platypeza aterrima. Its description in RNAcentral is "partial 16S ribosomal RNA". The record is from RNAcentral. Lineage: Eukaryota; Metazoa; Arthropoda; Insecta; Diptera; Platypezidae.